AUACCAAUUUUCCAGUACAGUGCCAAAGUACGUGAUGAUGUGCGAAGAGCAUACCUCCUGAGAGGCCCGUUCCAACCAACAGGACAUGCUUUCCUUCAAACAGAUUUCAGUGGAGUUCAACGUCGUUUUAAUGAAGAGUGGUUCAAGGAUCACAAGUCUUGGUUGGAGUACAGUACAAAGGAAAAUGCAGCAUUUUGUCUUUGUUGCUAUUUGUUUCAGAAUGAAAGUCUAGGCCAUGGUGGUGGAGAUGUAUUUUCAACAAAGGGGUGGAAAAGUUGGAAUAAUGUAAAGAGAUUGGAUAUUCAUGUUGGGGGUCCUUCAAGUACUCAUAAUCAGAACAUGAAGAGAUGUGAUGAUCUAAUGAACCAGAAGCAAUCCAUUGGAGCUGUCUUACACAAGGGAACAAAGAAAUCCAAUAUAGAUGAUGUGGCUGCUGUUGCUUUGAAGAAUGCUCCUCAGAAUUUAAAGUUGGUUUCUUCGACUAUCCAGAAACAUAUUGUGAAAGCUUGUGCGAUAGAAACAGUGAAAGCAAUCAUAGAAGAUCUGGGAGAUGAAUACUUUGCUAUAUUGGUUGAUGUAGAUAUGCUUAGAGAGAAACAAGCAAAAAGAGUCCAGACGGCACUGCAGAAUGGAGAACUGGAAACUGGUAGAGGUUUGAAUCAAGAACUUGGACUUAAACGAGCUGGGGAUACUCGUUGGGGUUCUCAUUUCAGCUCUCUCUUGAAUAUGAUUGUUAUGUUCCCCUCGGUAAUUGAAGUUGUAGAUGAUAAUGCACAAAACGCCAGCAAAGCUCUCGAUAGGAUUAAAGCAAAGGGUGUUCUGGACGCUAUUCAAACAUUUGACUUUGUUUUCAUAAUGCACUUGAUGAAGGCUGACAUUGUGAAUGCCGUGUCGUAUCUUCACACAACCAAAAGAAGGCUACAGGAAAUGAGAAACCAAGGUUGGGAAGGUAUGAUUAAAAAGGUUACUGAUUUUUGCAUUGAACAAGAUAUUGAACUUUCUGAUAUGGAUGCUAUGCAUAUUCCCCGAGGAUCGAAAUCAAAGCGUAAGGUUCAGACUGAUGGCAUAUCAAAUAAGAAUUACUACCAAAGUGUGAUGUACGCCAUUAUUGAUAUGUUACGUGUAGAGAUUGAUGACCGCUUUAGUGAAAGCAGCACAACCUUGCUUCUUGGGAUGGCUUCUUUGGAUCCUUCUGAUUUGUUUGCU
RNAcentral lists this ribosomal RNA (1206 nucleotides) under Triticum aestivum (bread wheat). RNAcentral describes it as "partial small subunit ribosomal RNA". Lineage: Eukaryota; Viridiplantae; Streptophyta; Magnoliopsida; Poales; Poaceae. The record is from RNAcentral.